This 403-nucleotide ribosomal RNA is filed under the name Verrucomicrobiota bacterium. Its description in RNAcentral is "Verrucomicrobia bacterium partial 16S ribosomal RNA". It matches the Rfam family "Bacterial small subunit ribosomal RNA", at positions 355 to 776 of the family's 1533-position model. Lineage: Bacteria; Pseudomonadati; Verrucomicrobiota. The record is from RNAcentral.
UGGGGAAUAUUGCACAAUGGGGGAAACCCUGAUGCAGCGACGCCGCGUGAGCGAAGAAGGCUUUCGAGUCGUAAAGCUCUGUCCUAGGAGAAGAUAAUGACGGUAUCAUAGGAGGAAGCCCUGGCUAAAUACGUGCCAGCAGCCGCGGUAAUACGUAUGGGGCGAGCGUUGUCCGGAAUUAUUGGGCGUAAAGGGUACGUAGGCGGUUUUUUAAGUCAGGUGUCAAAGCGUGGAGCUUAACUCCAUUAAGCACUUGAAACUGAAAGACUUGAGUGAAGGAGAGGAAAGUGGAAUUCCUAGUGUAGCGGUGAAAUGCGUAGAUAUUAGGAGGAAUACCGGUGGCGAAGGCGACUUUCUGGACUUUUACUGACGCUCAGGUACGAAAGCGUGGGGAGCAAACAGG